GACAAUUCCAGUUCAAUUAUAGACCAGAAUGAUCAAAAUAGUUUUGAUCGAUUUCAUCCAAAAGAGUUGUGCUGAGAAUAAUACGUAUGCGCAGAGAUACAUGAUUCACACCUUGCCAUGCAUCCCCGCCCGAGUGGCAAACCACAAUGGAGUUUUGGAUCGAGGUCAAUGGUCAAUCAGGAAUGGCUAAGCAAUGAAAAGAACAUCAAUUUGUCCAAGGAUAAAGUUACUACCAUAAGAGAUUUUCACAUCCCCUGGCUGCCACAACCAUACAAGCAACAAAAUCUAAUACAUAGAAAGCUUGCUUCUAUCAUGAGCAUGCUAAUACCAUAGAAAAGAUUAAAAAUCCAAAGAAGUGGCCCCAUAUGACCACAUAAUAAGCAGAAAUACGAAGAUCUAUGUUCAUCACAUACAUAAACACGCUAGUCAUAAAUAUCUAUAAGAACACAACUACACUGCCCUGGGCAUGCAUUAUUUGAAUACCACUAAAGACCCAGCAUGCUUCAUCCAUUACGCUGCUGCCACCUCAGUAGCAUGCUUUGCAAUGGUCUGCUGCAGUUCCUCUUUCUUGGCACCCACAACCUUGUCGAUUAUUUUUCCUUCUUUCAAGAACAUAAAAGUUGGCAUUGCCUCGACAGCCCAAUCCUCAGCAACAGUCUUCAAUUCAUCCACAUCCACCUUCAAGAAAGUGACAUGUGGCAUCUUCUUGGCGAACUCUGCCAGAAUUGGACUGAUGAAACGACAGGGCCCACACCAGGAAGCAGUAAAAUCCACCACAAUCAAUUUCUUGCUCUCCUGUCCCUUCUCGAGCUGCUCGGUCCAGGCCUGAACGGUGUGGCAAGCAAUCACUUGUCCUUCUUCAGCCAUUUUCUGUAUUUUUCAACAAAACAAAAUUUUCUCUCUUCCUUGUAUUUACGGAUUCUUCUCAAAUUGAUAUUUUCUACGACCCCA
This 951-nucleotide unclassified non-coding RNA is filed under the name Hevea brasiliensis (rubber tree). The record is from RNAcentral. Lineage: Eukaryota; Viridiplantae; Streptophyta; Magnoliopsida; Malpighiales; Euphorbiaceae.